UGACCGAGCAACUCCGCGUGAGUGAAGAAGGUUUUCGGAUCGUAAAGCUCUGUUGUAAGAGAAGAACGAGUGUGAGAGUGGAAAGUUCACACUGUGACGGUAUCUUACCAGAAAGGGACGGCUAACUACGUGCCAGCAGCCGCGGUAAUACGUAGGUCCCGAGCGUUGUCCGGAUUUAUUGGGCGUAAAGCGAGCGCAGGCGGUUAGAUAAGUCUGAAGUUAAAGGCUGUGGCUUAACCAUAGUACGCUUUGGAAACUGUUUAACUUGAGUGCAAGAGGGGAGAGUGGAAUUCCAUGUGUAGCGGUGAAAUGCGUAGAUAUAUGGAGGAACACCGGUGGCGAAAGCGGCUCUCUGGCUUGUAACUGACGCUGAGGCUCGAAAGCGUGGGGAGCAAACAGGAUUAGAUACCCUGGUAGUCCACGCCGUAAACGAUGAGUGCUAUGUGUUAGACCCUUUCCCGGGAUUUAGUGCCGCAGCUAACGCAUAAAGCACUCGCCCUGG
RNAcentral lists this ribosomal RNA (502 nucleotides) under Streptococcus sp. oral taxon 058. RNAcentral's name for it is "bacterial SSU rRNA". It matches the Rfam family "Bacterial small subunit ribosomal RNA", at positions 384 to 877 of the family's 1533-position model. The record is from RNAcentral. Lineage: Bacteria; Bacillati; Bacillota; Bacilli; Lactobacillales; Streptococcaceae.